AUGUACUGGUGGUCAACAGUACUGGUACCACGAAAGUGUAGUAUCUGUUCUUAUCAGCUUAAUAUCUGAUACGAUCCCCAUGUGGGAUCCUCGAUAUUAAACUGAUUUUUGCAACAUGGCGAAGUGCUAGGAGCUUGCUCCACCUUUGCCGCGGAUCGGCCCGGUAUUGCAGUACCUCUAGAGAGAGAGAGAGAGA
Procambarus clarkii (red swamp crayfish) is the source of this 196-nucleotide non-coding RNA. NCBI's taxonomy places the organism in Eukaryota, Metazoa, Arthropoda, Malacostraca, Decapoda, Cambaridae. The record is from RefSeq and is a predicted model, not a curated record.